GCAUAAUGAGCCUGCGAGUUGUGGUGUCUGGCAAGGUUAAGCAAACGCGAAGCCGUAGCGAAAGCGAGUCUGAAUAGGGCGCUUAGUCAGAUGCUGCAGACCCGAAACGAAGUGAUCUAUCCAUGAGCAAGUUGAAGCUAGUGUAAGAACUAGUGGAGGACUGAACCCAUAGGCGUUGAAAAGCCCCGGGAUGACUUGUGGAUAGGGGUGAAAGGCCAAUCAAACUUCGUGAUAGCGGGUUCUCUCCGAAAUAUAUUUAGGUAUAGCGUUGUGUCGUAAUAUAAGGGGGUAGAGCACUGAAUGGGCUAGGGCAUACACCAAUGCACCAAACCCUAUCAAACUCCGAAUACCUUAUAUGUAAUCACAGCAGUCAGGCGGCGAGUGAUAAAAUCCGUCGUCAAGAGG
RNAcentral lists this ribosomal RNA (405 nucleotides) under Campylobacter jejuni subsp. jejuni. Its description in RNAcentral is "partial 23S ribosomal RNA". It matches the Rfam family "Bacterial large subunit ribosomal RNA", at positions 610 to 1018 of the family's 2925-position model. The record is from RNAcentral. Lineage: Bacteria; Pseudomonadati; Campylobacterota; Epsilonproteobacteria; Campylobacterales; Campylobacteraceae.